Molecule: transfer RNA, 75 nt
Filed under: Clostridiales bacterium
Lineage: Bacteria; Bacillati; Bacillota; Clostridia; Eubacteriales
Description: tRNA-Pro
Rfam family: tRNA
About the family: Transfer RNA (tRNA) molecules are approximately 80 nucleotides in length. Their secondary structure includes four short double-helical elements and three loops (D, anti-codon, and T loops).
Source: RNAcentral
CGAGGUGUGGCUUAGCUUGGCUAGAGCGCCGCGUUAGGGACGCGGAGGUCGCAGGUUCAAAUCCUGUCACCUCGA